RNAcentral lists this ribosomal RNA (419 nucleotides) under bacterium. RNAcentral's name for it is "partial 16S ribosomal RNA". It matches the Rfam family "Bacterial small subunit ribosomal RNA", at positions 355 to 776 of the family's 1533-position model. The record is from RNAcentral.
UGGGGGAUAUUGCACAAUGGGCGAAAGCCUGAUGCAGCGACGCCGCGUGGGGGAUGAAGGCCUUCGGGUUGUAAACUUCUUUUGCUCUGAACAAGGCGCACCAUGGGGUGUGUUGAGUGUAGGGGUUGAUUAGCGCCGGCUAACUACGUUCCAGCAGCCGCGGUAAUACGUAGGGCGCGAGCGUUGUCCGGAAUUAUUGGGCGUAAAGGGCUUGUAGGUGGCUGGUUGCGUCUGUCGUGAAAGCUCAUGGCUUAACUGUGGGUUUGCGGUGGGUACGGGCUGGCUUGAGUGCAGUAGGGGAGGCUGGAAUUCCUGGUGUAGCGGUGGAAUGCGCAGAUAGCAGGAGGAAUACCGGUGGCGAAGGCGGGUCUCUGGGCUGUUACUGACACUGAGGAGCGAAAGCAUGGGGAGAGAACAGG